GAACACCAUCAAUCUGUAGUACGUGAGAUCUUUGGAAGUUCUCUUGGGAUCGUGAGCUCUACAUUCUACACUAUUUUCAGAACCUUGGAGUCAGGAGAUGGAAUCUACUCCUGGUUCUGCCACAAACUAGCCGAGCAUCCCUGGCAAAUCAUGCUUCCUGUUUGGCCUGGAAUGGGGGCAUAGACUAUACACGAACCUCUAAGGCAUGUGAAGAAUACAGCAUCCCUCGAGUCCAGAGAUUUGAGAUCACCAGUGUUUAUCCAGCCGGCAUGAUGGCGAUGAGAGAAGAGAGAAACUUCAGAGCCAAGGAAGAUUUGUGCUAUGGAUAAACAGGAUGGCUCCAGUGAAUUUAUCUUAACUGCUCUGUGGUAUUGCACCAUAGGAAUGUUUUAGCAUUUAUCUAAUCUAUUGAUGGCCAUCUGGUGAGUUUCCAGGGUUUUUGUUUUGUUUUGUUUGCUGGUUUUUUUAACCUUGAUAUAUAAACAUUUUUAUGGCACCCUCUCCUGAUGCAUGUGCACAAGAGUUUCUUUAGUGACAUUUACGAGGUCUUGGUGUGCACAUCUUGAGCUGACAAAAAGAUCUCAAAAAUAAACAGCAAAUACGAG
This 605-nucleotide long non-coding RNA is filed under the name Equus asinus (donkey). Its description in RNAcentral is "lncRNA (ENSEASG00005032137.1)". The record is from RNAcentral. Lineage: Eukaryota; Metazoa; Chordata; Mammalia; Perissodactyla; Equidae.